UGUCGGGUCGUCUAAUGGUAGGACAGUGGCCUCUGAAGCCAUUAAUCGGGGUUCGAGUCCCUGCCCGACAGCAA
Molecule: transfer RNA, 74 nt
Filed under: bacterium
Lineage: Bacteria
Description: tRNA-Gln
Rfam family: tRNA
About the family: Transfer RNA (tRNA) molecules are approximately 80 nucleotides in length.
Source: RNAcentral